This 427-nucleotide ribosomal RNA is filed under the name uncultured bacterium. RNAcentral's name for it is "partial 16S ribosomal RNA". It matches the Rfam family "Bacterial small subunit ribosomal RNA", at positions 355 to 774 of the family's 1533-position model. The record is from RNAcentral.
UGGGGAAUAUUGCACAAUGGGCGCAAGCCUGAUGCAGCCAUGCCGCGUGUAUGAAGAAGGCCUUCGGGUUGUAAAGUACUUUCAGCGGGGAGGAAGGUGUUGAGGUUAAUAACCUCAGCAAUUGACGUUACCCGCAGAAGAAGCACCGGCUAACUCCGUGCCAGCAGCCGCGGUAAUAUGGAGGGUGCAAGCGUUAAUCGGAAUUACUGGGCGUAAAGCGCACGCAGGCGGUCUGUCAAGUCGGAUGUGAAAUCCCCGGGCUCAACCUGGGAACUGCAUUCGAAACUGGCAGGCUAGAGUCUUGUAGAGGGGGGUAGAAUUCCAGGUGUAGCGGUGAAAUGCGUAGAGAUCUGGAGGAAUACCGGUGGCGAAGGCGGCCCCCUGGACAAAGACUGACGCUCAGGUGCGAAAGCGUGGGGAGCAAACA